Molecule: long non-coding RNA, 1668 nt
Organism: Manduca sexta (tobacco hornworm)
Lineage: Eukaryota; Metazoa; Arthropoda; Insecta; Lepidoptera; Sphingidae
Exons: 2
Source: RefSeq, a predicted model, not a curated record
CCGAACUAGCUCGGCAGGGCUAUUACCUAAUUUGCAAUAGCAAAGCGAUCGCAAAAAUUGUACAAUUUUUGCUUUCAAAUGGCUAAAAACGUCAAAUUCGUAUUACCUAAGAGCAAAAACAAAGCGAUAGCAAAGCAAACGGUUUUUAACACAGUGCUGCCUCUGUCGAACAAUCGGUAAAGUAAAACAGCAUUCAAUCUCUAUAGACACAGCAGAUUUUGGUAUUACGUAUGAGUUUUAAGAGCGAUCGAAUAGCAAUCAGCGAACAAAUACAACUGUCAAAUAGCAAAUGGUAAAUCAGUGAUUGUUGGUCGAUCGCUCGCUGAUCGCUCAGUUCGUAACGCUGUUUAUUAAUAGUUUUAAGUUGAUUAUUAAGGGUUUUUGUUUCAAUUUGUGCCUAUUUGGAUAUGGCUAGUGCAUUUUUAUUGUUAGAAGCUAUGAAUGGGGAAACUAGAAAAGCGUAAGACAUCUACUUUGCGGCGCAAUCUUCGAGAUAAUGCCGAAGCUUUGGAUCUGCCUAAUAAUUAAAUGCCAAGAAUUGUGCGAUGAAUUAAGGCCUUAUAAGUCGCAAACACGCAGGAGAAAUUUGUGUUGAGUGUAAAGUGCAGUGGCGAAGCGUCCAUUCAACCCGAUUCCUAUCGGCUUCCCUUUUAGGUUUAUUUAUUACUGUCUUAGUGUUUGUUUUCUGUUAAAAAGGGCAGCGAUACAUUAACCAAGGCGAUUGUUUUUUUGCAUCGGGUUACCUUUUGAAAAAUUUCACCCUUCGCCACUGGUAAAGUGAGUAAAGCUAUUUUGGUAUUUCUGUUCCUAUAUACAUUGUCUAAUAAAUUAAUUAAUAGUCUUUACGAUUACAUUUUCCAUAACAGAUGCUAACAGUACUCUCCUUCACUAUAGGCUCAUACCAAAAACCUGCAGGUAUGAGCUAGUCACAUGUUCUGAGCCAACCUAAUGUGUCAAAUUUAGUAAAUAAGGUGAUGAAAGCUCUAAAUUCGAGAGAAAUCUUGAUGAGAUAUAUUUGUUUCCCUCAGUCAUGGCAGCAAAGAAAUAAUGACAUAUAUGGGUAUGGUCCUAAUUAUAUAAAAUUGUAUUUAAUUUAAAGUAAAAUUUACAAACUUCAUUUCUUUCAAUUUUUCAAACAAAUUUGGCUGUGUGGGUUGCAUUGAUUAACAUGCUGAAUAUUUUUUUAAUGGAAAGGAUUACCACAGUAUACAUGUUCAAGUUAUAUGUGACAGUGAUUCAAAUAUAAUUAAUGUGGAUGCAUCAUUUGGUGGGGUGAGUCAUGAUGCAUAUAAAUAAAGAUAUAGAAGAAGAUAGUAAUAACUAGGUGUCAGCUCCAUCACAAUCUGAUAAUAGGGAGCCUGAGGAGCUCCCAUUGUUAAGGGGCCAACAACACAGAAUUGUGCAAAGUUUGUAGUUGACUAGGAGAUAAUUUGAAUUUAAUUUUUGUAUUAAAUUAUUAAUCAAAUUCUAAACGGCAUUUUUAUUUAUAUAAAACAUGCUACUGUAUACAUGUAAGCACUAUGUACAUUUUAAAAACAAAAAUGUUAUUUAAUUAAUUACUCAAAUUAGUGUGUGAAAAUCUAAGUUUAUAAGAUUGUUAGCAGUAAGUUAAUUCUGGAAAUACUGAAUUCAUUUUUUAAAUUCUAUUACCAGUAGAAAGCUACAUUA